RNAcentral lists this ribosomal RNA (497 nucleotides) under uncultured bacterium. Its description in RNAcentral is "partial 16S ribosomal RNA". It matches the Rfam family "Bacterial small subunit ribosomal RNA", at positions 28 to 507 of the family's 1533-position model. The record is from RNAcentral.
GGUGAACGCUGGCGGCGUGCCUAAUACAUGCAAGUCGAGCGAACGGACGAGAAUCUUGCUUCUCUGAUGUUAGCGGCGGACGGGUGAGUAACACGUGGAUAACCUACCUAUAAGACUGGGAUAACUUCGGGAAACCGGAGCUAAUACCGGAUAAUAUUUUGAACCGCAUGGUUCAAAAGUGAAAGACGGUCUUGCUGUCACUUAUAGAUGGAUCCGCGCUGCAUUAGCUAGUUGGUAAGGUAACGGCUUACCAAGGCAACGAUGCAUAGCCGACCUGAGAGGGUGAUCGGCCACACUGGAACUGAGACACGGUCCAGACUCCUACGGGAGGCAGCAGUAGGGAAUCUUCCGCAAUGGGCGAAAGCCUGACGGAGCAACGCCGCGUGAGUGAUGAAGGUCUUCGGAUCGUAAAACUCUGUUAUUAGGGAAGAACAUAUGUGUAAGUAACUGUGCACAUCUUGACGGUACCUAAUCAGAAAGCCACGGCUAACUACGUG